Molecule: ribosomal RNA, 458 nt
Filed under: uncultured Acidovorax sp.
Lineage: Bacteria; Pseudomonadati; Pseudomonadota; Betaproteobacteria; Burkholderiales; Comamonadaceae
Description: bacterial SSU rRNA
Rfam family: Bacterial small subunit ribosomal RNA
Source: RNAcentral
GCACAAGCGGUGGAUGAUGUGGUUUAAUUCGAUGCAACGCGAAAACCUUACCCACCUUUGACAUGUACGGAAUCCUUUAGAGAUAGAGGAGUGCUCGAAAGAGAGCCGUAACACAGGUGCUGCAUGGCUGUCGUCAGCUCGUGUCGUGAGAUGUUGGGUUAAGUCCCGCAACGAGCGCAACCCUUGUCAUUAGUUGCUACAUUCAGUUGGGCACUCUAAUGAGACUGCCGGUGACAAACCGGAGGAAGGUGGGGAUGACGUCAAGUCCUCAUGGCCCUUAUAGGUGGGGCUACACACGUCAUACAAUGGAUGGUACAAAGGGUCGCCAACCCGCGAGGGGGAGCCAAUCCCAUAAAGCCAUUCGUAGUCCGGAUCGCAGUCUGCAACUCGACUGCGUGAAGUCGGAAUCGCUAGUAAUCGCGGAUCAGCAUGUCGCGGUGAAUACGUUCCCGGGUCUU